This 465-nucleotide ribosomal RNA is filed under the name uncultured bacterium. RNAcentral's name for it is "partial 16S ribosomal RNA". It matches the Rfam family "Bacterial small subunit ribosomal RNA", at positions 28 to 507 of the family's 1533-position model. The record is from RNAcentral.
GAUGAACGCUGGCGGCGUGCUUAACACAUGCAAGUCGAACGGAAAGGCUCCUGCUUGCAGGGGUACUCGAGUGGCGAACGGGUGAGUAACACGUGGGUGAUCUGCCCUGCACUUCGGGAUAAGCCUGGGAAACUGGGUCUAAUACCGGAUAGGACGAUGGUUUGGAUGCCAUUGUGGAAAGUUUUUCGGUGUGGGAUGAGCUCGCGGCCUAUCAGCUUGUUGGUGGGGUAAUGGCCUACCAAGGCGUCGACGGGUAGCCGGCCUGAGAGGGUGUACGGCCACAUUGGGACUGAGAUACGGCCCAGACUCCUAUGGGAGGCAGCAGUGGGGAAUAUUGCACAAUGGGCGCAAGCCUGAUGCAGCGACGCCGCGUGGGGGAUGACGGCCUUCGGGUUGUAAACUCCUUUCGCUAGGGACGAAGCGCAAGUGACGGUACCUGGAGAAGAAGCACCGGCUAACUACGUG